This 460-nucleotide ribosomal RNA is filed under the name uncultured bacterium. RNAcentral describes it as "partial 16S ribosomal RNA". It matches the Rfam family "Bacterial small subunit ribosomal RNA", at positions 338 to 795 of the family's 1533-position model. The record is from RNAcentral.
CCUACGGGAGGCAGCAGUGAGGAAUAUUGGUCAAUGGGCGCGAGCCUGAACCAGCCAAGUCGCGUGAGGGAUGAAGGUUCUAUGGAUCGUAAACCUCUUUUAUAAGGGAAUAAAGUGUGGGACGUGUCCUAUUUUGUAUGUACCUUAUGAAUAAGGAUCGGCUAACUCCGUGCCAGCAGCCGCGGUAAUACGGAGGAGCCGAGCGUUAUCCGGAUUUAUUGGGUUUAAAGGGUGCGUAGGCGGCCUUUUAAGUCCGCGGGGAAAGUCGGUGGCUCAACCAUAGAAUUGCCGUUGAAACUGGGGGGGUAGAGUAUGUUUGAGGCAGGCGGAAUGCGUGGUGUAGCGGUGAAAUGCGUAGAUAUCACGCAGAACCCCGAGUGCGAAGGCAGCCUGCCAAGCCAUGACUGACGCUGAUGCACGAAAGCGUGGGGAUCAAACAGGAUUAGAUACCCUAGUAGUC